RNAcentral lists this ribosomal RNA (614 nucleotides) under Erysiphe thermopsidis. RNAcentral describes it as "partial large subunit ribosomal RNA". It matches the Rfam family "Eukaryotic large subunit ribosomal RNA", at positions 48 to 675 of the family's 3401-position model. Lineage: Eukaryota; Fungi; Ascomycota; Leotiomycetes; Helotiales; Erysiphaceae. The record is from RNAcentral.
AACCGGAGUACGGAACACCGGGAUUACCUCAGUAACGGCGAGUGAAGCGGUAACAGCUCAAAUUUGAAAUCUGGCUCCUCUGGAGUCCGAGUUGUAAUUUGUAGAAGAUGCUUUGGGUUGUGGGUCAGGCCUAAGUUCCUUGGAACAGGACGUCAUAGAGGGUGAGAAUCCCGUAUGUGGCCGAGGCCCGCGCCUAUGUAAAGCUCUUUCAACGAGUCGAGUUGUUUGGGAAUGCAGCUCAAAAUGGGUGGUAAAUUUCAUCUAAAGCUAAAUAUGGGCCAGAGACCGAUAGCGCACAAGUAGAGUGAUCGAAAGAUGAAAAGCACUUUGGAAAGAGAGUUAAACAGUACGUGAAAUUGUUGAAAGGGAAGCGCUUGCACCCAGACUUGGGCGCUGCUGAUCACCUUGCGGUCUCCGCGAGUGCACUCGACAGCGCACAGGCCAGCAUCGGUUCGGGUGGCUGGAUAAAGGCCGUAGGAACGAAGCUCCUUUCUGGGAGGGUUAUAACCUACGGUGGCGUGCAGCCCAGCCGGACCGACGACCACCCCUUCUGCCUAAGAUGAUGGCGUAAUGAGGGUUGCCAACCCCCCCUUGAAAAAAGAACCCAACAAGGG